GUGGGUCUGUCAAUUUUGUGCUUAAUAACAAGAAAAAGCCUUUCCAUGCUGCUUCUUCCUCUAAAGCUAAAGACAAAGCACCUAUGCCACAGAAGUAUUAGCAACAGCGUCAGCAACAGCGCCCUCCAGCACAAGAUGAGUGCUUCCACUGCUUUGACAAGGGGCAUCGUAAAGCAGAUUGUCCCGCUUACUUAAAGAUGAUAAUGGCAAAGAAUGGGAUUCCGUUCGACAAGGACUACGCAAAGAA
Panicum virgatum (switchgrass) is the source of this 247-nucleotide long non-coding RNA. RefSeq lists it as uncharacterized. NCBI's taxonomy places the organism in Eukaryota, Viridiplantae, Streptophyta, Magnoliopsida, Poales, Poaceae. The transcript has 2 exons. The record is from RefSeq and is a predicted model, not a curated record.